AUACGGAGGGUGCAAGCGUUACUCGGAAUCACUGGGCGUAAAGCGCGCGCAGGCGGCCAUUUAAGUUGGAUGUGAAAGCCUACGGCUCAACCGUAGAACUGCAUCCAAAACUAUUUGGCUAGAGUGUGGGAGAGGAAGAUGGAAUUAGUUGUGUAGGGGUAAAAUCCGUAGAGAUAACUAGGAAUACCAAAAGCGAAGGCAAUCUUCUGGAACACUGCUGACGCUGAGGCGCGAAAGCGUGGGGAGCAAACGGGAUUAGAAACCCUAGUAGUCC
RNAcentral lists this ribosomal RNA (274 nucleotides) under uncultured bacterium. RNAcentral describes it as "partial 16S ribosomal RNA". It matches the Rfam family "Bacterial small subunit ribosomal RNA", at positions 523 to 796 of the family's 1533-position model. The record is from RNAcentral.